This 465-nucleotide ribosomal RNA is filed under the name uncultured bacterium. Its description in RNAcentral is "partial 16S ribosomal RNA". It matches the Rfam family "Bacterial small subunit ribosomal RNA", at positions 339 to 795 of the family's 1533-position model. The record is from RNAcentral.
CUACGGGCUGCAGCAGUGGGGAAUAUUGGACAACGGGGGAAACCCUGAUCCAGCAAUGCCGCGUGUGUGAAGAAGGCCUGCGGGUUGUAAAGCACUUUCGGUUGGGAGGACUGCUUCUAGCACUAAUAUUGUUGGAAGUUGACGUUACCUUCAGAAGAAGCACCGGCUAACUCCGUGCCAGCAGCCGCGGUAAUACGGAGGGUGCAAGCGUGAAUCGGAAUUACUGGGCGUAAAGCGCGCGUAGGCGGCUAGAUCAGUCGGGUGUGAAAGCCCCGGGCUUAACCUGGGAACUGCAUCCGAUACUGUCUAGCUUGAGUACAGGAGAGGAGAGUGGAAUUCCACAUGUAGCGGUGAUAUGCGUAGAUAUGUGGAGGAACACCAAUGGCGAAGGCAGCUCUCUGGCCUGAUACUGACGCUGAGGUGCGAAAGCGUGGGGAGCAAACAGGAUUAGAUACCCUAGUAGUC